CAAGCUACUAAGGGCGCACGGUGGAUGCCUAGGAGCAAGGAGCCGAUGAAGGGCGUGGCAAGCUGCGAUAAGCCACGGGGAGCCGCAAGCAGGCGUUGAUCCGUGGAUUCCCGAAUGGGGAAACCCGGCCACCGCAAGGGUGGUCACCCACCGCUGAACCCAUAGGCGGUGUGGAGGGAACCUGGGGAACUGAAACAUCUCAGUACCCAGAGGAAAAGAAACCGAAUGGGAUUCCCUCAGUAGUGGCGAGCGAACGGGGAACAGCCUAAACCAAUCGGGCGUGCCCGAUUGGGGUCGUGGGACCGACACAAGGGAGCGUCUUCCGCUUAGCAGAAGCUGCCUGGAACGGCACGCCAUAGAGGGUGAGAGCCCCGUAUGCGAAAAGUGGAGCGCCCCGUCGGGAUCCCGAGUAGCACGGGAUAAGUGGAACCCUGUGCGAAUCUGCCCGGACCACCGGGUAAGGCUAAAUACUCCUUGCUACCGAUAGCGCAACCAGUACCGUGAGGGAAAGGUGAAAAGCACCCCGGCGAGGGGAGUGAAAGAGAACCUGAAACCGUGCGCUUACAAGCAGUCGGAGGGCUAUGCCCCGCAAGGGGAACAGCCUGACGGCGUGCCUUUUGCAGAAUGAGCCGGCGAGUUACGCUUUGUGGCAAGGUUAAGCGCCUCAGGCGCGGAGCCGCAGCGAAAGCGAGUCCUCACAGGGCGACUCAGUCACAAGGCGUAGACCCGAAACCGCGCGAUCUACCCCUGGUCAGGCUGAAGCCGUGGUAACACACGGUGGAGGGCCGAACCGGUGUCCGUUGAAAAGGGCUCGGAGGAACUGGGGGUAGUGUGGUGAAAUGCCAAUCGAGCGCGGAGAUAGCUGGUUCUCCCCGAAAUGCAUUGAGGUGCAGCGUCACGGGCUAUGCUAUGCAGGUAGAGCCACUGGAUGGGCUAGGGGCCCCACCAGGUUACCGAACCCAACCAAACUCCGAAUGGCAUAGCAGGAACCGUGGCAGUGAGACAGCGACGGAUGAGCGCCGUUGUCAAAAGGGAAACAGCCCAGACCGCCCGCUAAGGUCCCUAAGCACAGGCUAAGUGUGAAAGGAUGUAGGCUCGCGUAGACAACCAGGAGGUUGGCUUAGAAGCAGCCAUCCUUUAAACAGUGCGUAACAGCUGACUGGUCGAAUGUGAGCCUGCGCCGACAAUGUAAGGGGGCUUAAGCCUGUCACCGAAGCGGCGGGUUCCCAGCAAUGGGAGCGGUAGGGGAGCGUUCUGCACGCCGUGAAGGUGGAGCGUGAGCACCGCUGGAGCGUGCAGAAGUGAGAAUGCCGGCACGAGUAGCGAGAAGACGGGUGAGAAUCCCGUCCGCCGAAAGCCUAAGGGUUCUUCAGGCAGGUUCGUCCGCUGAAGGUUAGGCGGUCCUAAGCCGAGGGCGAAACGCCGUAGGCGAAGGGCAGUGGGUCAACAUUCCCACCCCAGGGCGUGGAGCGAGAACGGGGACGCUUGAGAAUCGGUCGGGCGCAGGGUUGUAAGGCUGCGCGCGCCCCAGCGGCAACUCUGGGGCGCCGAAGGGAUCCCUCGUGGUGAACGAAGCGACCGUGACUCAAGCCGAGAAAAGCCGUUCCGCGUUGAAACGUCCUGACCGUACCGCAAACCGACACAGGUAGGCGAGGCGAGGAGCCUCAGGCGCGCGAGAGAAGUCCCGCUAAGGAACUCGGCAAAUUGACCCCGUAACUUCGGGAGAAGGGGUGCCUCCGCAAGGAGGUCGCAGCAAAGAGGGCCCGGCGACUGUUUACCAAAAACACAGCUCUCUGCGAAGGGGUAACCCGACGUAUAGGGGGCGACGCUUGGCCAAUGCCCGUAGGUUAAGGGGAGGGGUCAGCCGCAAGGUGCAGCCCCAAACUGAAGCCCGGGUGAAUGCCGGCCGUAACUCUAACGGUUCGUCACAGGGCCGUUGUAAAAUCUGGCUAUAUGCUGGAACAGCUCGUGUAUCCCACGCUACCGAGGAGGUGAAAACGCGAUGGGUGGAGCCAAUCAGCAGGAAAGACUCGCCCACACCGAAGCCGCCAAAUGGUUCCUCGCGGGGUUCAUCGAAGGUGAAGGCUCCCUGCUUGUCAGCAUCAAACACCACGAAACCAGCCGAUACGGCUACUAUGUGGACCCAGAGUUCCACCUUGUCCAACACAAGAGUGGACGCAAUAUCCUGGAGCUGGCAAAGCAGGUCUUCCAAACAGGGCGCAUCUACCCCAAACCCGGCAGCCCAAACUGCCUCGUCUACGCCAUUCACUGCCGGCGUAGCCUCUGGGAAAAACUGGUGCCCUUCUACGAAAAGUAUGUCCUUCCCUUCGCCUCCCCGGACAAACGCGAAACCUUUCUGCGGUUUCGCGAAAUCCUGGAGAUGAUGAACCGUGGGGAACAUCGGACCCCUGACGGACUGGCACGCAUCGUCGAGAAGGCGUAUGCGAUGAACCCAGCCGCGAAGGGGAAGCAGCGCCUCAGACCGCUGCACGAGGUGUUGGCGAGAAUCCUCAGAGACCAUACGCCAGACACUCCGCCAAACGCGGAGUGAAGAUAUGGUCCAGUCCCUAUGGCGACAUAGGGGGCAACUGCCUAUGGUAGCGAAAUUCCUUGUCGCGUAAAUUGCGACCCGCACGAAAAGCGUAACGACUGGGCCACUGUCUCAGCGGGACACUCGGUGAAACUGUAGUACCCGUGAAGAUGCGGGUUACCUGCGGUAGGACGGAAAGACCCUAUGGAGCUUUACUACAGCCUGGGAUUGCAUUUCGGUGUGUCAUGUAGAGCGUAGGUGGGAGCUUCGGCGCCAAUGGAACACCACCCUUGACCCACUGAAGUGCUAACCCGGACCGUAAGCCGGUUCGGAGACAGUCUUAGGUGGGUAGUUUGACUGGGGCGGUCGCCUCAAUAGUGGGGCGCUCCGAUGGUAA
RNAcentral lists this ribosomal RNA (2927 nucleotides) under Fimbriimonadales bacterium. RNAcentral's name for it is "23S ribosomal RNA". It matches the Rfam family "Bacterial large subunit ribosomal RNA", at positions 4 to 2319 of the family's 2925-position model. The record is from RNAcentral. Lineage: Bacteria; Bacillati; Armatimonadota; Fimbriimonadia; Fimbriimonadales.